GGGCGGAUGGUCUAGUGGUAUGUAUGAUCUCUGUUUCGCAUCCUUCCCAUGUCUCCCCCCCCCCCCCCCCCCACAAUAAAAAGAAACACUUGCGUUUGUUUACGCUUACAGAAUGUCAGGUCCCGUGUUCAAUUCACGGUUCGUCCA
Non-coding RNA from Podospora didyma, 147 nucleotides. The record is from the annotation of a GenBank genome assembly. NCBI's taxonomy places the organism in Eukaryota, Fungi, Ascomycota, Sordariomycetes, Sordariales, Podosporaceae.